GAUGAACGCUGGCGGCGUGCCUAAUACAUGCAAGUCGAGCGAACAGACGAGGAGCUUGCUCCUCUGAUGUUAGCGGCGGACGGGUGAGUAACACGUGGAUAACCUACCUAUAAGACUGGGAUAACUUCGGGAAACCGGAGCUAAUACCGGAUAACAUGUUGAACCGCAUGGUUCAACAGUGAAAGACGGUCUUGCUGUCACUUAUAGAUGGAUCCGCGCCGCAUUGGCUAGUUGGUAAGGUAACGGCUUACCAAGGCAACGAUGCGUAGCCGACCUGAGAGGGUGAUCGGCCACACUAGAACUGAGACACGGUCCAGACUCCUACGGGAGGCAGCAGUAGGGAAUCUUCCGCAAUGGGCGAAAGCCUGACGGAGCAACGCCGCGUGAGUGAAGAAGGUCUUCGGAUCGUAAAACUCUGUUAUUAGGGAAGAACAAAUGUGUAAGUAACUAUGCACGUCUUGACGGUACCUAAUCAGAAAGCCACGGCUAACUACGUG
Molecule: ribosomal RNA, 497 nt
Filed under: uncultured bacterium
Lineage: Bacteria
Description: partial 16S ribosomal RNA
Rfam family: Bacterial small subunit ribosomal RNA
Source: RNAcentral